GGCUGUCCACUCUUGAGGGGCUCACAAUCCAGCAUCAGGGAGUCCCAGGUUGUGCCACUGUCAUCUCCUCAUCCGCCUAGCUGUGCAUCUAGUCAGACCACAUGGCUUGUAAGAAGGUGCUGUGCUCUCUUCAUUCUGCCAAUUAAUACUAAGGAAGGACCGGGAGAGAGGGGGGAGAGCUUAGAAAGUCUUACUGAUUUGAACAGAAAUUGACUUUAAGCACCUAUAAAGGUGAAAGAGAGGAGGUGAAUCGUCAGGAAUCCAGGCCACUGCUCUCUUCUUGCCAGCGUCCACGUUUUCUUUUCGGUCCCUAAGGGCAUGCGCCCAUGACAAAUAUGGCUGCGGCAGCCUCGGGCGCCGGCACCUGCCGGGGCGCGGUCCCGGGAGCCGCGCGGAGCCAAUCGCCGGCUGGGGGCGGAGGGAGAGGCUAGGGAAGCCGCCGGCGGGGCGCGCGCAGGCGCACUGACUCGCACCUGGCUCCAGGCAGCCGCAGGAUUAGGCUUCGCCUGCCACGGUAUCGGGACAAGGAUGGCCAGACUGCUCUUGGAUGUGAGCGCUCCUCAGUGCUCCUGGGGCUGACACCGAGCUGGCAGCCAUGGGGCUGGGCAGGCUCCAGGCCUGGAUGCUGGGCCUUCCUACGGCUGUGGUCUAUGGCUCCCUGGCUCUGUUCAUCUCUAUCCUGCACAAUGUGUUCCUGCUUUACUAUGUGGACACUUUUGUCUCAGUGUACAAGAUCAACAAAGCUGCCUUCUGGGUUGGAGAGACGGUGUUUCUCCUCUGGAACAGCCUCAACGACCCCCUCUUCGGCUGGCUGAGUGACCAUCAGUUCCUCAGCUCCCAGCCCCGGUCGGGCGCCGGGCUUUCCUCGAGGGCCGUGGUGCUGGCACGGGUGCGGGCCCUGGGCUGGCACGGGCCGCUGCUGGCGCUGUCGUUCCUGGCAUUCUGGGUGCCCUGGGCACCCGCUGGCCUGCAGUUUUUGCUGUGCCUCUGCCUCUAUGAUGGCUUCCUGACGCUCGUGGACCUGCACCAUCAUGCCUUGCUGGCUGACCUGGCCCUCUCUGCCCACGACCGUACCCACCUCAACUUCUACUGCUCCGUCUUCAGUGCAGCUGGCUCCCUCUCUGUCUUUGCCUCCUAUGCCUUCUGGAACAAGGAAGACUUCUCUUCCUUCCGCGCCUUCUGUGUGGCCCUGGCCACCGGCUCUGGGCUGGGCUUUAUGGGGGCCGCACGGCUGCUUGGGCGGCAGGUUGAGGCGGCUGGCAGGGAGCCAGAGUGCCCAGCCCUGGCUGUGAAUGGCGGCCUGUGCGGAGAGGAGCUGCUUACCGGCUGCCAGGACGCAGGUAGCAUCACUCUGAGCCAGUACCUCCAGCAGCUCGCACGCCACCGGAACUUCCUGUGGUUCGUGGGCAUGGACCUGGUGCAGGUGUUUCACUGCCACUUCAACAGCAACUUCUUCCCCCUCUUCCUGGAGCAUCUGUUGUCAGACCACAUCUCCCUCUCCACGGGCUCCUUCCUGCUGGGGAUGAUAACAGGACUGAUCCUAAAGGGUGGUGAGGAUGAAAUAACAGGAUGUGAAGCUCGCAGCACAGAGCCUGCCACGCCGAUGGUUGGUGCGGAGAGCUGUGGAAGCUGCAGCAGUGCCCCCUCACAAGGCUGCCCCCUUCUGUCCAGGCAUCUCCUAUGUGGCCCCCCACGUCAACAAUCUCUACUUCCUGCCCUUGUGCCGGCGCUGGGGCGUCUACGCCGUGGUGCGGGGGCUCUUCCUGCUCAAGCUGGGCCUGAGCCUGCUCAUGCUGUUGGCCGGCCCCGACCGCCCUGGCCUCCUCUGCCUCUUCAUUGCCAGCAACCGUGUCUUCACGGAGGGCACCUGUAAGCUGUUGACUUUGGUGGUCACUGACCUGGUGGACGAGGACCUGGUGCUGAACCACCGCAAGCAGGCGGCCUCAGCUCUUCUCUUUGGCAUGGUGGCCCUGGUGACCAAGCCGGGCCAGACCUUUGCCCCGCUGCUGGGCACCUGGCUGCUGUGCUUCUACACAGGUCAUGAUCUCUUCCAGCAGCCCCCACUGACCCCUGUGGGGAGUGCCCAGCCCUGGCCAGAGCCCCCGGCCCCAGCCCCAGCCCAGGCCCCAACACUCCGCCAGGGCUGCUUCUACCUGCUGGUGCUGGUGCCCAUCAUCUGUGCUCUGCUGCAGCUGUUCACUUGGUCCCAGUUCACACUGCACGGGAGACGCCUGCACAUGGUCAAAGCCCAGCGCCAGAACCUAUCACGGGCCCAAACCCUGGAUGUUAAGAUGGUGUGAGAGGCAGGUACUGCAAGGCCACCCUGCUGAGGACACUGUCGCAGCCCUGGGCAGGAGCCACUUUUGCCAGCCCCUCAUCCUGCUCCUCUGCCUCCCUGGGGCACAGCCUGGAGGACAGAUGGCAGAGUGCGAGCUUCUGGGGCUGAGCCAGGAGCAUCACUGAGGUCUAAGUUCCGGCUUGGCUGUCUGGCCCAGCUUGGGCAAGGGCUGGGCUCUAUGUGCUCAGGGACCUGCUUCCCCCUGUGGGGCAGGAGGAGGAAGAGGACCAAGAAGGGAUGGGGCUACUCUGUGAUCACAUGGGGUUGCUGCAGGGCAUGAAGGCCUGUUCCAUCACCUGGUUGGGGCUGGUGCUAUGUGUGGGCUCAGAAGCCACUUUCACCCACUCAGGGGAAGCUGUGAGUCCCACCGCCCCCUCCCUCCACGUUUCCAGUGGUUUCUCUGACCUCUCUGCUUCAGUUGUGCCUAAAGUAUUGUGUUGCUGCAGGGCUCCCCCACCCCCACC
Molecule: RNA transcript, 2802 nt
Organism: Mirounga angustirostris (Northern elephant seal)
Lineage: Eukaryota; Metazoa; Chordata; Mammalia; Carnivora; Phocidae
Gene: SLC68A1
Gene name: major facilitator superfamily domain containing 13A
Exons: 9
Source: RefSeq, a predicted model, not a curated record